RNAcentral lists this long non-coding RNA (2807 nucleotides) under Equus asinus (donkey). Its description in RNAcentral is "lncRNA (ENSEASG00005026808.1)". The record is from RNAcentral. Lineage: Eukaryota; Metazoa; Chordata; Mammalia; Perissodactyla; Equidae.
CCGAUGCCUGGACGAUCACAGGCGUUCAGUUGGCCAUGCUCAUGGCUAACGUAGUUUGAGUUUAUUCUGCACCAAACACCCUGUAGGUCUUGAUUUGAUUGAGGCCCAUGACAACCCUAAGAGGUGGCUGCCACCUCCAUCCAAGGGACAAGGGGACUAAGCUGUGAGAGAAGAGCCGGCCCCAAGGCCCACAGCUGGAAGGCUUGGAUUUGAAGGCAGAUAAGUCAAGCUCUGAGCGCCAACUAGCUUUAGGGAAAGUAUCAAGAAAGAAUGAGCUGAUGAACAAAGAAACAUCAUUCAACUCAUAACCGUGUUGUCCCACCAGCUCUUAAGCACCGCAACAUACCUCGAAUGAAACCUCAGCCCCAGAAAGGCCCUGAAAUGUCCAACAACGUCAGCCUCAUUUUUCCGUACAAACAGCACUGAAGCUCCUAUAAAACCUGGAAGCAGAUCACUCUCCUGUAAUAUCUGCGAAUGCAUUUUGAUCCUGUGGGGCAAGCAACACCUAUUUUCAGAUCUUUAAAAAUUUUUUCACAAAUAAGGAAACCGAAGCCCAGAAGAUUGCAUGGCUUGCCCAAGGCCAUGCAGUGAGUUUAUGCUGCAAAGCUGGAAGUGGAAUCCAGGUCCUGCCUCUUUUCAAUUCAGUGUCCUUCCGCCUGCUUCUCCCAAUGGCCGCAUCUUCACCCAGAUGAUGCUAAUUUGUUACCACCUGAUAGUCGUGUUUAUCAUGCCAACAAGCUUCCCUGAGCCAGUCAGGAAAUUCAAUUUCAUUCCUCAAAUGACUUUCAGAGAACAACCUGGCCUUUGCGCAGUCAUAUUGGGAUUCCCUACUCCAUGCUAUGGGGGGCUCCCCGGGUCAACACUUUCCUGGAGGCUGUUCUCUCUCCUUUUCUUGAGAUCUGCAGGCCCUGGCUGAGGGGAUGGAGACAGACUGAUGGCCAUCUGUCUGGGCUGUUCUGUGUGGCUUGGGCCCGAAUGCACUAAGCGAUUUAUCAGUUAACCGCGCAGUUUGUGUGCACGGCUGGGCUGUUUGCAGAACCAUGCCUUUCCCAUGGCUGCUCGGAGGGAAAUUACCAGUGCCCACUGAAGCAGGCGAUCAGGGGCUCGCUGGAUCCCUUUCAAGGACCAUGUGGCUCUUCACAUCUCCUCCUUAGGAUGAACGGUGCCUCCCUCUUCAAAGGCCAGUGCUGUCAAAAGAACUCUCUGCAAUCACAGAAACGAGCUCCAUCUGUGCCAUCCAAUGAGGCAGCCACCAGCCACGCGCUACUGAACCCUUGAAAUAGGCCUUGUGCAAUAGAGGAAUUGGACUUUUUUUCUUUUUCUUUUUGGUGUGGAAGAUUGUCCCAGAGCUAACAUCUGUUGCCAAUCUUCCUCUUUUUGCUUGAGGAAGAUCGGCCCUGAGCUAACACCUGUGCCAGUCUUCCUCUAUUUUGUAUGUGGGAUGCAGCCACAGCAUGGCUUGAUGAGCAGUGUGUAGGUCCACACCUGGGAUCUGAAGCUGCAAACCCUGGGCUGCCAAAGCAGAGUGCGUGAACUUAACCACUGCACCACCAGACUGGACCUGGAACUGGAUUUUUACCUCAUUUACAUUUAACUAGCCACAUGUGGCAGUGGCCACGGAAUUGGAAAGCAGUUAUAGACGGGGGUGAAAAAAGAAAAACAGACUGAAGUCUGAGGAAGUUCAGAAUUGCCCAAGGUCAUAACCUGGAUGAAGGUGGAGGUGAGAAUUGAAUCCACGCUUGUCAGCAUCUGCUGUGCAUCUCCAAAGAUGGAGGGUCCGGCUGGCUGAGGACGCACUCCAACACGCAAACCCAGAUCUGAAACUCGACACAGGCUGGGGAGAAAUAUUCCCGGGGCCAGGGAAUUGGCCCAGAAGGAGAAGGAUAUGAAUAUUCAAAACGGAUAAUGGUUGUGGAAACGCUUUGUAAACUGUGAAGUGCCGGUUCAGGGUGGGGGUUAUUAACAAUAGCCCUUGGCGCUGACUCCAUGGCACAGCUUUCCUGUCCCUCUCCACAUCCUGCUGCUCUGUUAAUCAUUAAUUAAAGCUUAAGGGAUUUGGGAAUACAGGCCUCUGAAAUUUGGACUAAACCCUCUGUGAUAUUGGAAAAAAAAAAAAGAAUCUCGGAUAAUUAGCUUUUCUUUCCCUAAAUGCUUUUUGGGUCUCAUUACAAUCGAAGUGCUGGGCUAAUAUACCUUGUGUUGUGAAUGCCUCACAAUUCCUGCUAAUUGAAUUAAACCCAAUUCUCUGCAAAUAAACUCUUGGUUUUCUUAAUGGCAAAUAAGGAACAGAGCUGUUUCUUUCUGGAACGGGUCAUUACAAGGCCCUAAUUACCAGGAUCUCAACGUGUAACGCAGACCGCCUUUGUGUCGGCUCCUCACAAUGACGGCUCUGUUAAGAUCAAAGUCGCAACGUGCCCUUGGAAUCUUCUCCCUCUCUUUAUCCCACUUCAAAAUGCUUAAUAAUGACUAAUCCAAUUUCCAAGAUGGCAGAGAAAGGACGAGAGAACAGAAGUCCACUUUUUUUAAAUUCAGGACAAAUAUUCCAAAAUGGAUGCGCUCAUGCGCCCCCCCCCCCUUUUCUUUUUCCCUUGCACACAGCACAUUUGGAAGUGGCUGCUUAAUGAAGGAUUCUGCACCUCAGGAGUUGCACGCGUGCCCAAGGUGAACCGAGGAGCUGCGUGGAGUAAUCAGAUGUCAGUGAGGAAGAUGGAUACCAUUGUUCUCUCAUGGCCCAACACCUUUAUCAAUAAUGCAAUGCCAAUUACUUUGGGGACCAGCCUGGACUCUUGUGGGAUGGGAAACUUGAU